Molecule: long non-coding RNA, 2739 nt
Organism: Helianthus annuus (common sunflower)
Lineage: Eukaryota; Viridiplantae; Streptophyta; Magnoliopsida; Asterales; Asteraceae
Exons: 8
Source: RefSeq, a predicted model, not a curated record
GUCCCCUUUUUUUCCUUUAUAAUCUCUCUUCUCAUUUAUCUUUUCAAAUGGCUAGGGUUUCUUCUCUCUGGAUCUUCAGUGCGAUUCAACAAAAACUCAGUGUUUUCUUUGUAGAUCCAACAUAAAUUUCUUCCUCUCUCAAUCUCAAACGUCUGACAAGGUAUCUUUAUUAGGCAUCUUCAUCAUCAACACCGUUUCUACACAGGGUUUAGAUUCAGCGAUUUCUAUAUUCUCUCCAUUCAACGAUCUCUUCUUCAUCAAUCCUCUCUGGAUACUCAACAACUAAGAUCCAGAUGUGUCUUUGCUCGAAUCUUGGUGUGACCAGUCAGAUGGUUAAAACUUCCCAAGAAUCCGUUCAAAAUACUAAAGAGUUUGAUAUAUGGUCUGGGUUAUUAAAAUGAAACAUUGGAGAUUUGAGGAAGUUUGGGGGUUUGAGAAGCUAGGGUUUAUGGUUUUGGUUGGAAUGUUGUGUUUGGGUGUGCUUCUUUUUUGGGUAAAUUGAUCAUCGAUUUGGGUUUUUUGUUGAGUUAAGUUUUGAUAUUAUUGAUUAAUUCGUUGCGUUUUUUGUUUAUUGUUGAUCUGUUAGUUCGUUCCUGAGUGGAUAAUAUUGUAAGCUUGUGGGAUAGGGAUAUUUUAUAGGCGUUUUGACAGAAUGAUAUACAUGGAAGGAUGUGGGUACAAAGAUGAACUGUAUCAAAUUCAUAUGAAAUUUUUAAAAGUGGAAGUUCUUUACUUUGAGUUUUAUGAUUAUGGCAAUAAGUACUUUUUUAGCUAAAAAAGAUGGACAAAAAACUGUAUGUUACUUUGCUGUAUAUCGUUUGUGUAUAAUAGAUUAAUAUUAUAGGAUUAUUAUUAAUGUUAUUAACCAUGUGUAUCCAAAAUAUGACUUACAAAUCAUGCCGCCCAGACUUGUUAAUUAGGUGAACAAAUGCCAAUUUACAAAUCUUACACGGUUUUUAAUGCAAGUUAGAAUUGCAUUAUUAAUAAAUCGUUCACAGCUAAGAAACCGUCGGUCAAACCCAUGUUUUAGUAGAUCCCGACCGUAAUAAUUCAGGCGGUUAUCUUCAAGAUUUAAUCUCAUCCGUUCAAACCCAAAAAACAGUUUUUUUUUUCAACGCCAGUUAAAGUUUCCUGUGUUUUCUGCAUGUUUUUCGCUACGUGGGUACGCUCCCUCAACCGUUGCCCUACAAUUAUACAUAUACACUCGCUUCCUCAUUCACUUUCAAAUCAUCUUCUUCCUCUCUCUAAAAUUUCUCUGAUUCAACUGGUGUUUUGCAGAUGUUUCUCUCAUAUGCUCCUUCAUUUUCAUAAACCUAUCGCCACCAUCUGCAAAUCCUCCUCCAACUACAACCUUCACCCUAAUUUCUAUCCAGAACAUCAUCAAUUUGAUUAUCAUCGACUUUUGGCAGUGUAAAAUCCGGAGGGCUCGUGGCAGAAACUGAUGUUUUUACCAUGAAGCAACCGUGAUUUUGCAGCCACCCCUGCUCUAAUUGUGUAUGGUUGAAGGUUGUGUUGAAAGGCUAUAGGGAAAUCAAUUUUGGGAACGAAUGUUACUUCUAAUCACUGCACUAAGUCGGCAAUUCAAAGUUCUGAUAUGUCUUCUUUGUUCGAUCACCUCACACAAGAAAUCCUCUUCUCAAAUCCAGAAUCAUUCAAUAUCCUCUCUUAGUUCUCUCAAAAAAAAUCAGGGCUCUGAUUUUGGGGGUUUUUGGUGGUAUAGUCGGCUGUCAUAGAAACGAAAUUGGGGGUUCUUGGUGGUAUAUCGGCUGUCAUGGAACGAAAUCAUGGGAGAAGAAGGCGUGUAUCGGGAAGCAUACUCAUUUGAAGGCAUUCACUGUCAAUCAGGAAGCAUACAGCCCAUUAAAGGCAUAUGAAAGGUCAAGGUAACACCAAGUAGCAAGUAACGUUAGUACUCUUACAUGUUUAUAGGAUAUGGAAUUUAAAUAGUAAAAUCCUUUUUACGAAAGUGGAAUGUGCAUGAUGAAAAGAAUACAAGUUUGCAGAUGGAACAGCUUGAUGAUAUACAAUGUUUUAGCCUAUAUGAAGUAGCCAGGGCCACAGGUAACUUCAGUGUCUCCAAUAAGAUUGGACAAGGUGGCUUUGGUCCGGUUUACAAGGGUGUGUUGAAGGAUGGAAGACAAAUAGCUGUCAAGCGACUCUCAGAAACAUCUCAACAAGGGCUUCAUGAGUUCAAGAAUGAAGUCAUCUGUAAUGUAUUGCAAAACUUCAGCAUCGGAAUCUUGUGAAGCUUCUUGGAUAUUGCAUUCAUCAAAAUGAACUGAUUUUGAUUUGUGAGUACAUGACUAAGAAAAGCUUGGACUGGUUUCUAUUUGAUGAAACCAGAAGCUUGAUGCUUAACUGGCCUCAACGUUUCAAUAUAAUAGAAGGAAAAAUAGUAAUGGACAUCUCAGCCCCACUGGUUUCGCUUUGGAUUAUUAGCUUGUAGAUUUUAGAAUUUGUUUUAGAUCAUUGUGUUUUUUUUCGUCAUUGUGGUUUUUUUCGUCAUUGUGUCUUUUUGCAAUUCAUUGUGUCUUUUUUUCACCAGCAUUGUGCUAUAUUUCUCGGCAUUGUGUUAUAUUUUGCGAUCUAUUGUGUCUUUUUUCCUCGGCGUUGUGUUAUAUUGCUCGACAUUGUGUUAUAGUUUGCAAUUCAUUGUGUCUUUUUUCCUCGGCGUUGUGUUAUAUUUCUCGGUAUUGUGUUAUAUUGCUUGACAUUAUGUUAUUUUCUCGCCUUUUUUCC